Molecule: ribosomal RNA, 253 nt
Filed under: uncultured bacterium
Lineage: Bacteria
Description: partial 16S ribosomal RNA
Rfam family: Bacterial small subunit ribosomal RNA
Source: RNAcentral
UACGAAGGGGGCUAGCGUUGCUCGGAAUCACUGGGCGUAAAGGGUGCGUAGGCGGGUCUUUAAGUCAGGGGUGAAAUCCUGGAGCUCAACUCCAGAACUGCCUUUGAUACUGAAGAUCUUGAGUGCGGGAGAGGUGAGUGGAACUGCGAGUGUAGAGGUGAAAUUCGUAGAUAUUCGCAAGAACACCAGUGGCGAAGGCGGCUCACUGGCCCGAUACUGACGCUGAGGCACGAAGGCCAGGGGAGCAAACGGG